RNAcentral lists this microRNA (19 nucleotides) under Branchiostoma floridae (Florida lancelet). Its description in RNAcentral is "bfl-miR-129a-3p". Its record names the gene bfl-miR-129a-3p. Lineage: Eukaryota; Metazoa; Chordata; Leptocardii; Amphioxiformes; Branchiostomatidae. The record is from miRBase by way of RNAcentral.
AAGCCCUUACCUCAAAAGG